Long non-coding RNA from Mustela lutreola (European mink), 1175 nucleotides. RefSeq lists it as uncharacterized. The record is from RefSeq and is a predicted model, not a curated record. The transcript is spliced from 4 exons. NCBI's taxonomy places the organism in Eukaryota, Metazoa, Chordata, Mammalia, Carnivora, Mustelidae.
CAGCUGGGUUUUAAAAAGCUCCAGAGGAUUCUGACAGCGGCUCCUGUGUGGAUGGCUCCACUGUGGGGCUGACAUCUGGUUACCGGACCUUGACCUUUCUAGUGAUCUGCUGCCAGAACUCCUUUCUGAAGACCAAAUCCUUCCAGGACCCCUAGCGGUGACUGCUGGUGCCUCCGCUGGGCUGUGGGUCCGGGCAGGCUUUCCCUGGGGACUAAACAGAAUGUGAGCCACAGAUGGAAUUUCACAUUUUCCAGUUUUGUACUAACAAGUAACAGGAAACAGCCAAGCUCCCCAGACAUGGGCACCUUCAGAUCGCGGGCAAGGCAAGAAGAGCACGGCUGAGAGGGACCUCGUGGUUCAUGUAACUGGAUCCUUCCAUGCACGGAUGAGACAGCACGGGACCUGCUCAGGGCCACGCAGCCAUGGCCUGAAAACCUGUUCCCUUAGCUAGACACACUCUGUCUGGGUCUCAUGUCCCCUGGCUGGCUGGAGGGGAAGCUCAUGGGACGCAGGCUCACCCCAGGGCACCAGGGAAACUGGUUUUCGUGCCCGGGAAGGAUCCCACUAGCUGCCGAGGAGGCUGCUCUCAGCUGCUCGGCUGGGUGGGGCCGGCUGCUGUGUGCUGGGCCCCCCCGCCGUAUGUUCUGCGGGAAGCCGAACCCUGUGGGAACUCGGGCCCUUCUUCCAGAGGGCAGGCUGCAUGGUGUGCUCAGCUGCUGAGCUGCUGCUGGCCUGGAGUCGGAGAUGGGGUGGCCUCCUCUCUGGCUUGCCUUACCCAGAGAGCAGAAGGGAGCUCUCUCCCAGUUUAAAGCAUAUUUCUGUGUUGGUUCCAAAAAGUCUAGACUAGUUACUCCUGGGGGCUUCGGAGUUAUUUCAAGGUGUCUACAAAACUCCAUUUCCACUGCGUGUUUUCUCAUAAAGCAUCUCAUAACUCAUGUCUUACACAUAUAUGUACUAUGUUUUCCAAAUGCAUGGCACUACUGUGGCUGUUAAAAUACCGACCCAUAAAAUAAUGCUUCUGAUACUACUAAUAAAUAACGAUAAAUUCCAGUGGUUCUCUCUGGGAGGUGGCACUUCAUGUCUGUAAUGUCUAAUUCUGUUAGUACCUUCGUAUGGUACUCAUAUGGUACAUCGCUAAUCAAACUAGAAGAAAAGUUAAUAAUAAAAGAUCAUUG